GUGGAUUGGCCACAUCUCCUAUGGGUGCUUCCAUAUUCUUGUGGAUUGGCCACAUCUCCUAUGGAUACCUAGCGUGGAACUACUGCCACACAUACUUAUCAUCAGUGGGUAACCCCUACUAGGCUUCUACCCCAUAUUCUUGUGGAUUGGCCACAUCUCCUAUGGGUGCUUCCAUAUUCUUGUGGAUUAGCCACAUCUCCUAUGGAUACCUAGCGAGAACUACUGACACACAUACUUUCCUUAGACUCUAUAUGCUUCCCCACCCAUGCUUAACUGUAACAUCAUUCUUUCAUACUUUUACUUAUCAUUUCACAUCCUUAUCACUUUCACUUAUCCCUUCCCAUUCCCAUUUACUUUCCUUUUUCAUUUAGACUUGUACUUGGACUCAAUCACUAGACGCCACCCGUUAUCGGUGUCACACACAAUACACAUCGC
Molecule: long non-coding RNA, 435 nt
Filed under: Brassica rapa (field mustard)
Lineage: Eukaryota; Viridiplantae; Streptophyta; Magnoliopsida; Brassicales; Brassicaceae
Description: long non-coding RNA (BRAP_LNC005009)
Source: RNAcentral